Carassius gibelio (silver crucian carp) is the source of this 1081-nucleotide long non-coding RNA. RefSeq lists it as uncharacterized. The transcript has 2 exons. NCBI's taxonomy places the organism in Eukaryota, Metazoa, Chordata, Actinopteri, Cypriniformes, Cyprinidae. The record is from RefSeq and is a predicted model, not a curated record.
GAGGAUUUAUAACUGGAAUAAACCUAAGAACAAUUACAUACAGAUCACUUUUUGUCGUGUUCAAAAUUACAUCCUUUGGUUACCAGCACAAGCCAGUCAGAAGACAGGUUUCCUUUUUGUAUUGGUUUACUUCAAAUGCAAACAAAGUAAAUGCAAAUGAAAAAGAUUCUUGAGAGCUGUGGAAGAGGGGAACUUUGAAUUCAUUUCAGUCCGUUACUCAAACAAAACUGUAGCUUUAAAAAACAAAGAACAUGCAGCAUGAGUCAUAUAGACCAUUUAUAUCAUUUCGCGUUUAACGUGUGGAAACAAAAGCAACAAAAACAUUUUGCUAAAUAUCUCUAUUUUUGUUCCACGGAAGAAAGAAAGUCAAGGGUGAGUAAAUUAUGACAAUUUUCCUUUAACCACUAGCCCGAAAUUCCCCACAUAUUACAAGAAUCACUCAGAUAAGGUGCUGUCAGUAUACUUGAAUCAAGAGUAGCAAUUUAGAAUACACACAUGUCGUGCAGCUCCCUCGGUCAUCAGAACCACAUCACACACACGGAACUCAGGAACCUCCCACCUCCGGUAACUAUGGUAACCUCCUCUCUGAGUGAUGUCACCCUGAUAUUGCAUCAUAACCCCAUGAGCUAACUGGGUUGCUUUUCUCAAGACCCAUGAAGCACACUGAAUAAAACAGACAGAGUGGGAGAAGGGAGCUAUGAUAGUGGAGAAGAUUGAUACUGACUGACCAAGAGGAGAAUCCACAGAUUCUAUUAAUAGCCAUUCAGACUCUUCAGUCACCAGAAAAAAAGCCAUGUGUGUGCAAAGCAACACACACACACAGCUUAUGGAUGAGAGAGCCAGAUGGAGGCAUCCGACUGAUGAGAGAUUGAGAGAGAGAGGGGUACAGAAUGUAUCAUGCGAGAUUCCCCAUAUGACCCUGAGAGUCAACAGAAUCGCUCAUGGGUCCAAGAGGAUUCUGUUAUGGCUUACAUCGACAGUGCUGUCAAACCAGUAAAUAGUCUCAGUGGAUGCGGAAUGAUGUGAAUACAGACCUAAUACUCUUCUCAUAUCCUAUAUAAUAAAGAAGUGCAAUUUCUAA